RNAcentral lists this small nuclear RNA (118 nucleotides) under Strigops habroptila (Kakapo). Its description in RNAcentral is "U1 spliceosomal RNA (ENSSHBG00005016308.1)". It matches the Rfam family "U1 spliceosomal RNA", at positions 1 to 116 of the family's 166-position model. From Rfam's summary of the family: U1 is a small nuclear RNA (snRNA) component of the spliceosome (involved in pre-mRNA splicing). The record is from RNAcentral. Lineage: Eukaryota; Metazoa; Chordata; Aves; Psittaciformes; Psittacidae.
AGACUUACCUGGCAGGGGAGACACCAUGAUCAGGCAGAUGGUUUUCCCAGGGCGAGGCUCAUCCCUUGCAUUCUGGGGCAUUUGUACUUAUAUGAGUGAGUACAAAACAUCUCGCACC